RNAcentral lists this ribosomal RNA (482 nucleotides) under Psychrobacter sp. Nj-14. RNAcentral's name for it is "bacterial SSU rRNA". It matches the Rfam family "Bacterial small subunit ribosomal RNA", at positions 496 to 973 of the family's 1533-position model. Lineage: Bacteria; Pseudomonadati; Pseudomonadota; Gammaproteobacteria; Moraxellales; Moraxellaceae. The record is from RNAcentral.
GCUAACUCUGUGCCAGCAGCCGCGGUAAUACAGAGGGUGCAAGCGUUAAUCGGAAUUACUGGGGCGGUGAAAGGGAGGCGUAGGUGGCUCGAUAAGUCAGAUGUGAAAUCCCCGGGCUCAACCUGGGAACUGCAUCUGAUACUGUUGAGCUAGAGUAUGUGAGAGGAAGGUAGAAUUCCAGGUGUAGCGGUGAAAUGCGUAGAGAUCUGGAGGAAUACCGAUGGCGAAGGCAGCCUUCUGGCAUAAUACUGACACUGAGGCUCGAAAGCGUGGGUAGCAAACAGGAUUAGAUACCCUGGUAGUCCACGCCGUAAACGAUGUCUACUAGUCGUUGGGUCCCUUGAGGACUUAGUGACGCAGCUAACGCAAUAAGUAGACCGCCUGGGGAGUACGGCCGCAAGGUUAAAACUCAAAUGAAUUGACGGGGGCCCGCACAAGCGGUGGAGCAUGUGUUUAAUUCCGAUGCAACGCGAAGAACCUUA